GCGGGUAUCGUAUAGCAGCUAUUAUGUGUCCUUGCCAAGGACAAGAUGGGGGUGCGACUCCCCCUACCCGCUCCA
Molecule: transfer RNA, 75 nt
Filed under: Candidatus Kuenenbacteria bacterium
Lineage: Bacteria; Candidatus Kueneniibacteriota
Description: tRNA-Gly
Rfam family: tRNA
About the family: Transfer RNA (tRNA) molecules are approximately 80 nucleotides in length.
Source: RNAcentral